CACGUAGGGGGCAAGCGUUGUCCGGAAUUAUUGGGCGUAAAGAGCUCGUAGGCGGUUUGUCGCGUCUGCUGUGAAAACUCGAGGCUCAACCUCGGGCUUGCAGUGGGUACGGGCAGACUAGAGUGCGGUAGGGGUGACUGGAAUUCCUGGUGUAGCGGUGGAAUGCGCAGAUAUCAGGAGGAACACCGAUGGCGAAGGCAGGUCACUGGGCCGCAACUGACGCUGAGGAGCGAAAGCAUGGGGAGCGAACAGG
RNAcentral lists this ribosomal RNA (253 nucleotides) under uncultured bacterium. Its description in RNAcentral is "partial 16S ribosomal RNA". It matches the Rfam family "Bacterial small subunit ribosomal RNA", at positions 524 to 776 of the family's 1533-position model. The record is from RNAcentral.